GACGAACGCUGGCGGCGCGCCUAACACAUGCAAGUCGAACGAGAGAGAGGGAGCUUGCUUCCUUGAUCGAGUGGCGAACGGGUGAGUAACGCGUGAGGAACCUGCCUCAAAGAGGGGGACAACAGUUGGAAACGACUGCUAAUACCGCAUAAGCCCACGACCCGGCAUCGGGAAGAGGGAAAAGGAGCAAUCCGCUUUGAGAUGGCCUCGCGUCCGAUUAGCUAGUUGGUGAGGUAACGGCCCACCAAGGCAACGAUCGGUAGCCGGACUGAGAGGUUGAACGGCCACAUUGGGACUGAGACACGGCCCAGACUCCUACGGGAGGCAGCAGUGGGGAAUAUUGCACAAUGGGGGAAACCCUGAUGCAGCGACGCCGCGUGGAGGAAGAAGGUCUUCGGAUUGUAAACUCCUGUUGUUGAGGAAGAUAAUGACGGUACUCAACAAGGA
This 447-nucleotide ribosomal RNA is filed under the name uncultured bacterium. RNAcentral's name for it is "bacterial SSU rRNA". It matches the Rfam family "Bacterial small subunit ribosomal RNA", at positions 28 to 488 of the family's 1533-position model. The record is from RNAcentral.